Molecule: ribosomal RNA, 253 nt
Filed under: uncultured bacterium
Lineage: Bacteria
Description: partial 16S ribosomal RNA
Rfam family: Bacterial small subunit ribosomal RNA
Source: RNAcentral
UACGUAGGGUGCAGGCGUUAAUCGGAAUUACUGGGCGUAAAGCGUGCGCAGGCGGUUUGCUAAGACAGGUGUGAAAUCCCCGGGCUUAACCUGGGAACUGCGCUUGUUACUGGCAAGCUAGAGUGUGGCAGAGGGGGGUGGAAUUCCAGGUGUAGCAGUGAAAUGCGUAGAGAUCGGCAGGAACACCCAGGGGGAAACCAGCCGACUGGGCAUCUGCUGACGCUGAGGUGCGAGAGCGUGGGGAGCGAACCGG